Long non-coding RNA from Oncorhynchus tshawytscha (Chinook salmon), 759 nucleotides. Lineage: Eukaryota; Metazoa; Chordata; Actinopteri; Salmoniformes; Salmonidae. The record is from Ensembl.
GGCAGCCGUUUAGGGUCAUUCCCAUCAAGAGUAAAACCAAACAUAUUUAUCAAAUGUAUUUUAUAAAGUCCUUUUUACAUCAGCAGUUGUAAAACUACUACGGGGAAAUAUUCACAGACAAUAGUAAUAACAUAUUCUAGGAUAAAUACAGUAGGUUAGACCGAGGAGUACUUGGAACAGGAUUGGGUCAGGUCAGGACCACCAACCGCCUCCACCUUUCCACACCAACCAGCAGGCAUAACAACAGAGAACCACUCUGCCUCUCCUCUCCUCCACACCAACCAGCAGGCAUAACAACAGAGAACCACUCUGCCUCUCCUCUCCUCCACACCAACCAGCAGGCAUAACAACAGAGAACCACUCUGCCUCUCCUCUCCUCUCCUCUCCUCCACACCAACCAGCAGGCAUAACAGAGAACCACUCUGCCUCUCCUCUCCUCCACACCAACCAGCAGGCAUAACAACAGAGAACCACUCUGCCUCUCCUCUCCUCUCCUCCACACCAACCAGCAGGCAUAACAACAGAGAACCACUCUGCCUCUCCUCUCCUCCACACCAACCAGCAGGCAUAACAACAGAGAACCACUCUGCCUCUCCUCUCCUCUCCUCCACACCAACCAGCAGGCAUAACAACAGAGAACCACUCUGCCUCUCCUCUCCUCCACACCAACCAGCAGGCAUAACAACAGAGAACCACUCUGCCUCUCCUCUCCUCCACACCAACCAGCAGGCAUAACAACAGAGAACCACUCUGCCUCUC